GGCUUGGUAAUUGGAUUAGGGAGAGUUAAACGGACCAUCGAGUAUCCAUUGGAGGGCAAGUCUGGUGCCAGCAGCUGCGGUAAUACCAGCUCCAAUAGCGUAUAUUAAAGUUGUUGCAGUUAAAAAGCUCGUAGUUGGACUUGUGUGCGCUGUCCGCGGGUGGCCUGCGCCCAAAAGGGCGUUUCGGUUCGGCCCCGGUGGCGCCUUGAAAUCUGCAGCUGGGGGGACGUUGGCCUUAACUGGUCGGCGACCGCACGCCGGCUGCUCGGUUACUGUGAGAAAAUUAGAGUGUUCAAGGCAGGCAUUGGGUGCAAUUGAAUACAUUAGCAUGGAAUAAUAAAAUAUGGCUCCUGCCGUAUUUUGUUGGUUUUGACUGGUGGGAGUAAUGAUUGAUAGGGACGGUUGGGGGUGCUAGUAUUGAGCGGCCAGAGGUGAAAUUCAUGGAUUCGCUCAAGACUAACUUAUGCGAAAGCAUUCACCAAGGACGUCCUCUUUAAUCAAGAACGAAAGUUGGGGGAUCGAAGACGAUCAGAUACCGUCGUAGUCUCAACCAUAAACUAUGUCGACUUGGGAUCGGCGGUAGUUUUUUCAUUAAGACACUGUCGGGACCACGGGAGAAAUCAAAGUGUCUGGACUCUGGGGGAAGUAUGGUCGCAAGGCUGAAACUUGAAGGAAUUGACGGAAGGGCACCACCAGGAGUGGAGCCUGCGGCUUAAUUUGACUCAACACGGGGAAACUUACCAGGUCCAGAGAUGUAGAGGAUUGACAGAUUGAAGCUCUUUCUUGAUCACUUCGGUGGUGGUGCAUGGCCGUUCUUAGUUGGUGGAGUGAUUUGUCUGGUUAAUUCCGUUAACGAACGAGACCUCAGCCUGCUAGUGUAGUCGGCUGGAUUGCCUUUGGCGAUCCGUGAUUUCGACUUCUUAGAGGGACAAUCGACGCGCAGUCGAUGGAAGUUUGAGGCAAUAACAGGUCUGUGAUGCCCUUAGAUGUUCUGGGCCGCACGCGCGCUACACUGCUGGGCUCAGCGAGUUUUACUUGGCCGAGAGGCCCGGUUAAUCUUGUGAAAUCCCAGCGUUCUUGGGCUCGCCUCCUGCAACUGGAGGCGCCAACGAGGAAUUCCUAGUAGACGCAGGUCAUCAACCUGCAUCGAUUACGUCCCUGCCCUUUGUACACACCGCCCGUCGUUCCAUAAGAGUGAGGCAUCCGGUGAAUUCUCGGGAGAGCCUGGGCGUGGCCAGCAAUGGUCUGCUCGGGUUUGAACUUGCAUAAACUUGGUGCCUAUGAUUAGGG
This 1290-nucleotide ribosomal RNA is filed under the name metagenome. RNAcentral describes it as "SSU rRNA". It matches the Rfam family "Eukaryotic small subunit ribosomal RNA", at positions 500 to 1783 of the family's 1831-position model. The record is from RNAcentral.